GACGAACGCUGGCGGCGUGCUUAACACAUGCAAGUCGAACGGAAAGGCUCCAGCUUGCUGGCGUACUCGAGUGGCGAACGGGUGAGUAACACGUGGGUAAUCUGCCCUGCACUCUGGGAUAAGCCUGGGAAACUGGGUCUAAUACUGGAUAUGACCUUUCUCCUUAUGGGGUUUGGUGGAAAGUUUUUCGGUGUAGGAUGAGCCCGCGGCCUAUCAGCUUGUUGGUGGGGUGAUGGCCUACCAAGGCGACGACGGGUAGCCGGCCUGAGAGGGUGAUCGGCCACAUUGGGACUGAGAUACGGCCCAGACUCCUACGGGAGGCAGCAGUGGGGAAUAUUGCACAAUGGGCGGAAGCCUGAUGCAGCGACGCCGCGUGAGGGAUGACGGCCUUCGGGUUGUAAACCUCUUUCAGCAGGGACGAAGCGUAAGUGACGGUACCUGCAGAAGAAGCACCGGCUAACUAUGUG
This 467-nucleotide ribosomal RNA is filed under the name uncultured bacterium. Its description in RNAcentral is "partial 16S ribosomal RNA". It matches the Rfam family "Bacterial small subunit ribosomal RNA", at positions 28 to 507 of the family's 1533-position model. The record is from RNAcentral.